RNAcentral lists this ribosomal RNA (464 nucleotides) under uncultured bacterium. Its description in RNAcentral is "bacterial SSU rRNA". It matches the Rfam family "Bacterial small subunit ribosomal RNA", at positions 335 to 796 of the family's 1533-position model. The record is from RNAcentral.
ACUCCUACGGGAGGCAGCAGUGAGGAAUCUUGCGCAAUGGAGGAAACUCUGACGCAGCCACGCCGCGUGCCGGAAGACGGCCCUAUGGGUUGUAAACGGCUUUUGAUGGGGAAGAACGGCUGGGUUUCGACCUGGCGUGACGGUACCCAUUGAAUAAGCACCGGCUAACUCCGUGCCAGCAGCCGCGGUAAUACGGAGGGUGCAAGCGUUGUCCGGAAUCAUUGGGUGUAAAGGGUGCGUAGGCUGGCUCUUAAGUCUGAGGUGAAAUCUUGCCGCUUAACGGUAAAAUGGCCUUGGAUACUGGGGGUCUUGAAUCUGACAGAGGCCGGUGGAAUUCGUAGUGUAGCGGUGAAAUGCAUAGAUAUUACGAAGAACACCAGUGGCGAAGGCGGCCGGCUGGGUCAGUAUUGACGCUGAGGCACGAGAGCGUGGGGAGCGAACAGGAUUAGAUACCCCAGUAGUCC